Molecule: small RNA, 28 nt
Filed under: Bombyx mori (domestic silkworm)
Lineage: Eukaryota; Metazoa; Arthropoda; Insecta; Lepidoptera; Bombycidae
Description: ovarian small RNA-31022
Source: RNAcentral
UGAAGUGCCAUUGUGUUCCAUCAUCAGC